AACGAACGCUGGCGGCAUGCCUAACACAUGUAAGUCGAACGAGACCUUCGGGUCUAGUGGCGCACGGGUGCGUAACGCGUGGGAACCUUCCCUUAGGUUCGGAAUAACUCCCCGAAAGGGGUGCUAAUACCGGAUAAUGUCUUCGGACCAAAGAUUUAUCGCCUUUGGAGGGGCCCGCGUUUGAUUAGAUUUUUGGUAGGGUAAAAGCCUACCAAGGCGAGGAUACAUAGAUGGUAUGAGAGGAUGAUCAGCCACACUGGGACUGAGACACGGCCCAGAAUACUACGGGAGGGAGCAGUGGGGAAUAUUGGAAAAUGGGGGAAAGGCUGAAAAAGCAAUGAGGGGUGAGUGAUGAAGGCAUUAGGGUUGUAAAGCGCUUUUAACCGGGAUGAUAAUGACAGUACCGGGAGAAUAAGCACCGGCUAACUACGUG
RNAcentral lists this ribosomal RNA (433 nucleotides) under uncultured bacterium. RNAcentral's name for it is "partial 16S ribosomal RNA". It matches the Rfam family "Bacterial small subunit ribosomal RNA", at positions 29 to 507 of the family's 1533-position model. The record is from RNAcentral.